AUGGGUACACAUCUGAUGCGGAAUGCGCACGGAACGGUGCCCGUGUAUUGCGGAUCCGCAAAUGUGGGCCGCACAUGUUCCUAUGAACGAUCCCUACAAUCAAAACUUUCUGACACUUAUUCCUGAAAAGAACAAAUUCAAUGGCAAGUCCGACCCAUGGCACUUUUAUCAGUAGAGUGUACACUGCAUGGGCAGUAGAUACUGGUGCAACAUGUGGCAGUAUUAUUAGGAGGUAUUAGUAAGGAGAUCGUGUAAUAAAAUGGUUUAAAUCCGAAAAAUCGGAAGAAUGAAAAAAAAAAACACAACUUAAAAAUUAACUUGCAGAAAAACAACCUCUGUGUAGAUGGAGAAAAACACUGACUGGCAAUUUUUUUGCACUGUUUGCAUUCUGUCUUCACUGAACAAUAAAGGAGCAAAGUAUGAAUAGUCAAUGUUCAAGAGGAGCUUGGAAAACUAGGGACUGCUUGUGUCACAGGUCCAGAUCUUCUGUUCACACAAGCUGAACCUGCACAGUCUAUGAUGUGAGGUUUUGGAUUUUGCAAACACAUUUCAUACUGUCCCUCAUAAAUGCUUAAUUGAUAAAAUAAGGUCUACAGGAUUUAAAACUGGCUGAAGGACAAUGUCCAGAGAGUUGUGGUCAAUGAUUCCUAUACAGAAUGGUCCCGGAUUAUAAGUGGUGUACCCCAAGGUUCAGUAAUGCGUCCCCUAUUUUACUUAUUUAUUAAAUGGGAUCAUCCAACCCCUAUAAUGUCCCCAAAAUACCCAUGCACCUCAUACAGGUUAUAAUUGCCCGGCACCCGCAUCGCUCCUGAUGCCCGCUGCUGCAUCUCUCCUGUGCGCGGAUCAAAACAUCUUGACGCUAGUGAGGCUCGUCCCCGCCGCGGCCUGCUAUUAAUGCAGCGGCGCAGGGCAUUAUCAUGAUUUAUAAUGCUAUGUGCCUCUGUUUGACCUUACUUCUACAGGAUCAUAGUGACAGCUUUAUGUCACUACGAUUCUGCAGCAGUAACGUCAAGCAGAGACACAUAGCAGUAUCAAUCAUGAUAAUGCCCUGCGCUCCUGCAAGACCACAACAGAGGAUCACGAUCACAUACGGAGCGCGAUUCCCACAAUGGACUCGCUAGUGUAAAACAGCCCUUAGGGUCCUUUAAAGAUCAGACCAAUUAUCAAGAACAAGCAUUCAUACUGUAUGAAUGGUCAUUCCCAAUAUUGGUCUGUGUGCUGACACAUGUUUAGGCUUUUUGAUGCAGUUUUUAAAGCCAAAAUAAGAUGUGCAUCAUAACAGGAGAGAAAGCAUUAGGGCAAAUACUACUUCUCCACUUUUUUCUAUCAAUUUCUAGGUUCGGCUUCAAAAACUGCAUUGGAAAAACCUGAACAUGUGUCAGCUCCCUAAGGGUCUGCAGGUCAUGUGACA
This is a long non-coding RNA of Bufo bufo (common toad), 1411 nucleotides long. RefSeq lists it as uncharacterized. The record is from RefSeq and is a predicted model, not a curated record. NCBI's taxonomy places the organism in Eukaryota, Metazoa, Chordata, Amphibia, Anura, Bufonidae. The transcript is spliced from 3 exons.